CGUACACUCCUGCGGGAGGCAGCAGUGGGGAAUAUUGCACAAUGGGCGCAAGCCUGAUGCAGCCAUGCCGCGUGUAUGAAGAAGGCCUUCGGGUUGUAAAGUACUUUCAGCGGGGAGGAAGGCAAUACGGUUAAUAACCGUGUUGAUUGACGUUACCCGCAGAAGAAGCACCGGCUAACUCCGUGCCAGCAGCCGCGGUAAUACGGAGGGUGCAAGCGUUAAUCGGAAUUACUGGGCGUAAAGCGCACGCAGGCGGUCUGUCAAGUCGGAUGUGAAAUCCCCGGGCUCAACCUGGGAACUGCAUUCGAAACUGGCAGGCUUGAGUCUUGUAGAGGGGGGUAGAAUUCCAGGUGUAGCAGUGAAAUGCGUAGAGAUCUGGAGGAAUACCGGUGGCGAAGGCGGCCCCCUGGACAAAGACUGACGCUCAGGUGCGAAAGCGUGGGGAGCAAACAGGAUUAGAUACCCCGGUAGUCCCA
RNAcentral lists this ribosomal RNA (476 nucleotides) under uncultured organism. RNAcentral describes it as "partial 16S ribosomal RNA". It matches the Rfam family "Bacterial small subunit ribosomal RNA", at positions 330 to 797 of the family's 1533-position model. The record is from RNAcentral.